Molecule: ribosomal RNA, 407 nt
Filed under: uncultured bacterium
Lineage: Bacteria
Description: partial 16S ribosomal RNA
Rfam family: Bacterial small subunit ribosomal RNA
Source: RNAcentral
AUUGAACGCUGGCGGCAGGCCUAACACAUGCAAGUCGAGCGGAGCGGCGGACGGAUGGGUAAUUCCUAGGAAUCUACCUGGUAGUGGGGGGUGGCGUACGGCAACAGGCGCUAAUAACUACUGCUAGCAGAUGAGCCUAGGUGGGAUGAGCUAGUUGGUGGGGUAAGGGCCUACCAAGGCGACGAUCCGUAACUGGUCUGAGAGGAUGAUCAGUCACACUGGAACUGAGACACGGUCCAGACUCCUACGGGAGGCAGCAGUGGGGAAUAUUGGACAAUGGGCGAAAGCCUGAUCCAGCCAUGCCGCGUGUGUGAAGAAGGCCUUCGGAUUGUAAAGCACUUUCAGUUGGGAGGCGUUACCAACAGAAUAAGCACCGGCUAACUUCGUGCCAGCAGCCGCGGUAAUUC